This 162-nucleotide unclassified non-coding RNA is filed under the name soil metagenome. RNAcentral's name for it is "partial internal transcribed spacer 1". The record is from RNAcentral.
AAAGAGACGUUGCCCUUCGGGGUAUACCUCCCACCCUUUGUUUAUUAUACCUUUGUUGCUUUGGCGGGCCCGUCCUCGGACCACCGGCUUCUGCUGGUCAGUGCCCGCCAGAGGACCUAAAACUCUGUUUGUUAAUAUUGUCUGAGUACUAUAUAAUAGUUA